GUAAUUUUCAUACUUUACCCUCUUGAUGCAAGUUUUCAGUUCUAUUUCCUCCAAACAGAUAUUGUGUUGCAGAUUUUGUUCUGAUCUCACAAAGAACAACCCUGACAAAAGAGUUGGGACUUUAACUCUUCCCCUGAUGGCACACGAGUGCCAGGAGCUGCACGUGCACCUCACAGAGCCCUGCACGAUACAGCUUUUGUCCAUCAAUCUGGAGAGGUUACCAAGACUGAAGUGAAUAGGAGGAAAGGAAGUCUGCAGCUGUGAGACCCAUUUUUAAUGGUAUUACUUUCUCAAAAAAUUAUCAUUAAAUCAACUGUACUACAUCUAAAAAAACCAAAACGGCAUG
Molecule: long non-coding RNA, 346 nt
Filed under: Crocodylus porosus (Australian saltwater crocodile)
Lineage: Eukaryota; Metazoa; Chordata; Crocodylia; Crocodylidae
Description: lncRNA (ENSCPRG00005013191.1)
Source: RNAcentral